AGUGAACGCUGGCGGCAGGCCUAACACAUGCAAGUCGAACGGCAGCACAAGAGAGCUUGCUCUCUGGGUGGCGAGUGGCGGACGGGUGAGGAAUGCAUCGGAAUCUGCCCAUUUGUGGGGGAUAACCUCGGGAAACCGGGACUAAUACCGCAUACGACCUACGGGUGAAAGCAGGGGAUCUUCGGACCUUGCGCAGAUGGAUGAGCCGAUGCCGGAUUAGCUAGUUGGAGGGGUAAAGGCCCACCAAGGCGACGAUCCGUAGCUGGUCUGCGAGGAUGAUCAGCCACACUGGGACUGAGACACGGCCCAGACUCCUACGGGAGGCAGCAGUGGGGAAUAUUGGACAAUGGGCGCAAGCCUGAUCCAGCCAUGCCGCGUGUGUGAAGAAGGCCUUCGGGUUGUAAAGCACUUUUGUUGGGAAAGAAAAGCAGCCGGUUAAUACCCGGUUGUCAUGACGGUACCCAAAGAAUAAGCACCGGCUAACUUCGUG
This 490-nucleotide ribosomal RNA is filed under the name uncultured bacterium. RNAcentral's name for it is "partial 16S ribosomal RNA". It matches the Rfam family "Bacterial small subunit ribosomal RNA", at positions 29 to 507 of the family's 1533-position model. The record is from RNAcentral.